This 1073-nucleotide long non-coding RNA is filed under the name Cyanistes caeruleus (blue tit). Its description in RNAcentral is "lncRNA (ENSCCEG00000004896.1)". Lineage: Eukaryota; Metazoa; Chordata; Aves; Passeriformes; Paridae. The record is from RNAcentral.
UUCUUUUAUUUUUUCCAUAUUAAAUGAGGAUAGAAGUUAUCCUCGCUGCGAGCAGCAGCAAAGAGGUGACCUCCUCUCCAACCACCGUAAGGGGAGGAGGACACACCUGACUUUUUAUUUUCUUUUAUUUUUUCCAUAUUAAAUGAGGAUAGAAGUUAUCCUCGCUGCAAGCAGCAGCAAAGAGGUGUCCUCCUCCCCGACCACCAUAAGGGGAGCAGGACAGAUCCUGCUUUUGGUUUCUUUUUUUUUCCUCCACAGAAAAUGAGGACAGAAAUUAUCCUCACUGCAAAGCAGAAACAACAAAGGGUGCGGAGGCCCCAACAGAGAUUACUCCGCUCCAUGGAGCCCUCCCUCAACCUUCACCAAGGUUGAGGCUGGAGACAAUCCAACCCCUCCAUCACAGAGGAGUUGGAACGGUGGAUGCAGAGGCCUCAACUCCUCCGCUCCACCUACCUUACUCUACCUUAACCUACUCUACCUUAACCUACUCUACCUUAACCUACUCUACCUUAACCUACUCUACCUUAACCUACUCUACCUUAUCCUACACUACCUUACCCUACUCUACCCCAGAACCACACCAAAUUUAUCCCCUGUCCCCCUCCCCACACCACAUUAGGGGAGGAGGACAGAUAUGACUUUCCUCUCUUAUAAUAGUUAUAUAUAUAUAUAUAUAUAUAAGUAUUUAGAUAAUAAUUAUAUAUCAUUAAGUUAAUGAGGAUAUCCUCAAAAUUUGGAAAUUAUCCACAUAGACAUCAGUUCCUCCAGGCCUCAACAAGGUGAGCACAAACAGAGAUGAUCCUCUCCCCCCACCCUCCCCAAUAAUGGGGAGUGCACAGAGUUAACCUGAGCCUUCAUCUCCACACAGGUUGAGGCUGGAGACAAUCCAACCCCUCCAUCACGGAGGAGUUGGAACGGUGGAUGCGGAGACCUCAACUCCUCCGCUCCACCAAUCCUACUCUACCUUACCCUACUCUACGUUAUCCUACUCUACGUUAUCCUACUCUACGAUGUCCUACUCUACUCCAGAACCCCGCCAAAUUUAUGUCAGACUUAUCCUGUCCCCCUCCCCA